Anas platyrhynchos (mallard) is the source of this 404-nucleotide long non-coding RNA. RefSeq lists it as uncharacterized. The record is from RefSeq and is a predicted model, not a curated record. Lineage: Eukaryota; Metazoa; Chordata; Aves; Anseriformes; Anatidae.
ACAGGGACAUCUCUCAAGGUUACUCCUUGAGGCUGAGAGAUUCUCUGCCUGUGACAGAUAGUCAUUGACUAAUAGCUAGCUCAUUGAGACUUUGCAAGUAAUUUGCUAAGCAUGAUGAAACUUUGUAAUCUUAGCUAAGUGAUAUAAAGGAUUGGUUGUGCAUAUGAUUCUUUAGGUAUCAGCUCUUAAGUCUGGGAUUGUGUUGUAUCUAGACUCACUCCUUGGAGUUUGGAUGGCAAGAGGGGCUCCACUCUGAACCUUGUGACUCAAGAAGGAAGACAAAUUUAUCAAGUAUGUUUUGUGUCACUUUACCAGCCUUGCUUUGCUGAAUGCCCUCACCUGCUCUGGGGAUCUCAGCACCCGACCUUUCCUCUCCCACUUGAUCUCUCCCUUCUUCCUUCUGG